UACGGAGGGUGCAAGCGUUAUUCGGAAUCACUGGGCUUACAGGGUGCGUAGGCGGCCAGCCAGGUCCGAUGUGAAAUCCCACAGCUCAACUGUGGAAUGGCAUUGGAAACCGGUUGGCUCGACUGAGCUAGAGGUACACGGAACUUCCGGUGGAGCGGUGAAAUGUGUUGAGAUCGGAAGGAACACCAGAGGCGAAGGCGGUGCACUGGGGCUUGUCUGACGCUGAGGCACGAAAGCCAGGGGAGCGAACGGG
RNAcentral lists this ribosomal RNA (253 nucleotides) under uncultured bacterium. RNAcentral's name for it is "partial 16S ribosomal RNA". It matches the Rfam family "Bacterial small subunit ribosomal RNA", at positions 524 to 776 of the family's 1533-position model. The record is from RNAcentral.